GCAUCUUUAGUUUAAUGGUAGAAUGAAAGUUUUCGAAACUUUGUAUAGAAGUUCAAUUCUUCUAAGAUGCU
RNAcentral lists this transfer RNA (71 nucleotides) under Saitoella complicata NRRL Y-17804. It matches the Rfam family "tRNA". Rfam says of the family: Transfer RNA (tRNA) molecules are approximately 80 nucleotides in length. Their secondary structure includes four short double-helical elements and three loops (D, anti-codon, and T loops). The record is from Rfam by way of RNAcentral. Lineage: Eukaryota; Fungi; Ascomycota; Saitoellomycetes; Saitoellales; Saitoellaceae.